CACGUAGGGGCCAAGCGUUGUCCGGAUUUAUUGGGCGUAAAGAGCUCGUAGGCGGCUCGGUAAGUCAGGUGUGAAACCUCCAGGCUCAACCUGGAGACGCCACCUGAUACUGCUGUAGCUAGAGUCCGGUAGGGGAGCGUGGAAUUCCUGGUGUAGCGGUGAAAUGCGCAGAUAUCAGGAGGAACACCAGCGGCGAAGGCGGCGCUCUGGGCCGGAACUGACGCUGAGGAGCGAAAGCGUGGGUAGCAAACAGG
RNAcentral lists this ribosomal RNA (254 nucleotides) under uncultured bacterium. Its description in RNAcentral is "partial 16S ribosomal RNA". It matches the Rfam family "Bacterial small subunit ribosomal RNA", at positions 524 to 776 of the family's 1533-position model. The record is from RNAcentral.